RNAcentral lists this ribosomal RNA (2817 nucleotides) under Proteus mirabilis. Its description in RNAcentral is "23S ribosomal RNA". It matches the Rfam family "Bacterial large subunit ribosomal RNA". The record is from RNAcentral. Lineage: Bacteria; Pseudomonadati; Pseudomonadota; Gammaproteobacteria; Enterobacterales; Morganellaceae.
GGUUAAGCGAAUAAGCGUACACGGUGGAUGCCUAGGCAAUCAGAGGCGAUGAAGGACGUGCUAAUCUGCGAAAAGCGUCGGUAAGGUGAUAUGAACCGUUAUACCCGACGAUAUCCGAAUGGGGAAACCCAGUAUCCAAUGGAUACUAUCAUUAACUGAAUCCAUAGGUUAAUGAGGCGAACCGGGAGAACUGAAACAUCUCAGUACCCCGAGGAAAAGAAAUCAACCGAGAUUCCCCUAGUAGCGGCGAGCGAACGGGGAGCAGCCCAGAGUCUUAAUCAAUAGCAGUGUCAGGAGAACGGUCUGGAAAGUCCGGCAGUAAAGGGUGAUAGCCCCGUAUCUGAAGAUGCUGUUAUUGUGAACUCGACGAGUAGGGCGGGACACGUGUUAUCCUGUCUGAAUAUGGGGGGACCAUCCUCCAAGGCUAAAUACUCCUGAUUGACCGAUAGUGAACCAGUACCGUGAGGGAAAGGCGAAAAGAACCCCGGCGAGGGGAGUGAAAAAGAACCUGAAACCGUGUACGUACAAGCAGUAGGAGCCNNACUGCGUACCUUUUGUAUAAUGGGUCAGCGACUUAUAUUCUGUAGCGAGGUUAACCGUAUAGGGGAGCCGUAGGGAAACCGAGUCUUAACUGGGCGAAUGAGUUGCAGGGUAUAGACCCGAAACCCGGUGAUCUAUCCAUGGGCAGGUUGAAGGUUGGGUAACACUAACUGGAGGACCGAACCGACUAAUGUUGAAAAAUUAGCGGAUGACUUGUGGAUGGGGGUGAAAGGCCAAUCAAACCGGGAGAUAGCUGGUUCUCCCCGAAAGCUAUUUAGGUAGCGCCUCGUGAACUCAUCUUCGGGGGUAGAGCACUGUUUCGACUAGGGGGUCAUCCCGACUUACCAACUCGAUGCAAACUGCGAAUACCGAAGAAUGUUAUCACGGGAGACACACGGCGGGUGCUAACGUCCGUCGUGAAGAGGGAAACAACCCAGACCGCCAGCUAAGGUCCCAAAGUCAUGGUUAAGUGGGAAACGAAGUGGGAAGGCUCAGACAGCCAGGAUGUUGGCUUAGAAGCAGCCAUCAUUUAAAGAAAGCGUAAUAGCUCACUGGUCGAGUCGGCCCGCGCGGAAGAUGUAACGGGGCUAAACCAUGCACCGAAGCUGCGGCAGCGANNGUUGGGUAGGGGAGCGUUCUGUAAGCCUGCGAAGGUGUACUGUGAGGUAUGCUGGAGGUAUCAGAAGUGCGAAUGCUGACAUAAGUAACGAUAAUGCGGGUGAAAAACCCGCACGCCGGAAGACCAAGGGUUCCUGUCCAACGUUAAUCGGGGCAGGGUGAGUCGACCCCUAAGGCGAGGCUGAAAAGCGUAGUCGAUGGGAAACGGGUUAAUAUUCCCGUACUGGUGGUAACUGCGAUGGGGGAACGGAGAAGGCUAGGUUGUCCGGGCGACGGUCGUCCCGGUUCAAGCAGGUAGGCAGAGUGAUUAGGCAAAUCCGGUCACUUAAUGCUGAGAUGUGAUGACGAACCACUAAGGUGGUGAAGCAAUUGAUGCCCCGCUUCCAGGAAAAGCCUCUAAGCUUCAGGUUACCAACAAUCGUACCCCAAACCGACACAGGUGGUCAGGUAGAGAAUACUCAGGCGCUUGAGAGAACUCGGGUGAAGGAACUAGGCAAAAUGGUGCCGUAACUUCGGGAGAAGGCACGCUGGCGGUAGGUAAAGUCCCUCGCGGACGGCGCUGAAGCCAGUCGAAGAUACCAGCUGGCUGCAACUGUUUAUUAAAAACACAGCACUGUGCAAACACGAAAGUGGACGUAUACGGUGUGACGCCUGCCCGGUGCUGGAAGGUUAAUUGAUGGGGUCAGCCGUAAGGCGAAGCUCCUGAUCGAAGCCCCAGUAAACGGCGGCCGUAACUAUAACGGUCCUAAGGUAGCGAAAUUCCUUGUCGGGUAAGUUCCGACCUGCACGAAUGGCGUAAUGAUGGCCAGGCUGUCUCCACCCGAGACUCAGUGAAAUUGAACUCGCUGUGAAGAUGCAGUGUACCCGCGGCAAGACGGAAAGACCCCGUGAACCUUUACUAUAGCUUGACACUGAACAUUGAGCCUUGAUGUGUAGGAUAGGUGGGAGGCUUUGAAGUGUGGACGCCAGUCUGCAUGGAGCCAACCUUGAAAUACCACCCUUUAACGUUUGAUGUUCUAACCUAGGCCCAUAAACUGGGUCGGGGACCGUGUCUGGUGGGUAGUUUGACUGGGGCGGUCUCCUCCUAAAGAGUAACGGAGGAGCACGAAGGUUGGCUAAGCAUGGUCGGACAUCAUGCGGUUAGUGCAAAGGCAUAAGCCAGCUUGACUGCGAGAGUGACGGCUCGAGCAGGUACGAAAGUAGGUCUUAGUGAUCCGGUGGUUCUGAAUGGAAGGGCCAUCGCUCAACGGAUAAAAGGUACUCCGGGGAUAACAGGCUGAUACCGCCCAAGAGUUCAUAUCGACGGCGGUGUUUGGCACCUCGAUGUCGGCUCAUCACAUCCUGGGGCUGAAGUAGGUCCCAAGGGUAUGGCUGUUCGCCAUUUAAAGUGGUACGCGAGCUGGGUUUAGAACGUCGUGAGACAGUUCGGUCCCUAUCUGCCGUGGGCGUUGGAAGAUUGAGAGGGGUUGCUCCUAGUACGAGAGGACCGGAGUGAACGCACCACUGGUGUUCGGGUUGUCAUGCCAAUGGCAUUGCCCGGUAGCUAAGUGCGGAAGAGAUAACCGCUGAAAGCAUCUAAGCGGGAAACUUGCCUCGAGAUGAGUCUUCCCUGUCNNACGUUGAGCUAACCAGUACUAAUGAACCGUGAGGCUUAACCUG